This 381-nucleotide ribosomal RNA is filed under the name uncultured bacterium. RNAcentral describes it as "bacterial SSU rRNA". It matches the Rfam family "Bacterial small subunit ribosomal RNA", at positions 790 to 1167 of the family's 1533-position model. The record is from RNAcentral.
GUAGUCCACGCCCUAAACGAUGGAUGCUAGGCGUCGGGGGUAUCGACCCCCCCGGUGCCGCAGCUAACGCACUAAGCAUCCCGCCUGGGGACUACGGCCGCAAGGUUGAAACUCAAAUGAAUUGACGGGGACCCGCACAAGCGGUGGAGCAUGUGGAUUAAUUCGAUACUAACCGAAGAACCUUACCCAGGUUUGACAUCGAGUGAAAGCCUAUGAAAGUAGGUCCUCUCCCACAAGGAGACACGAAGACAGAUGUUGCAUGGCUGUCGUCAGCUCGUGCCGUGAGGUGUACGGUUAAGUCCGCCAACGAGCGCAACCCUCGUCGUGUGUUACCAGCGAUUAAAGUCGGGAACUCACACGAGACCGCCGGUGUAAAUCGGA